UGUGUUCUUGCAUGCUGGUGAGGAAGCUGGGAGGAGACACAGCUGGGACAGGUGACCCAAACUGACCAAAGGGAUUUCCAGGCCAUGCGACUUCAUGCUCAGGACAUAAAGUGGGCCGAAGAAGGAGGAAGGCUGGGACAUUUGGAGUGAUGAUGUUCGUCUGCCUAGGUCUGUCAGGUUUGAAGAUAGAGAUCAGAAAACGAUGGACCAAGAAGGAUGUGGUGGAAAGGGUACCAGUUGAAUGACAGAACAGACCUGUGUCUCUGAAGAAACAAGAAGGAUGAGGAAGGAUGCUGCAAAAACAGCUACAAAUGUUGCAGAGGAGGAGCAGAGCACAUGAAGGUCUCCAGCCAUCCUGCAGGAGUGAGGGAUUGGUGCAAACCAAGCCUUGAGAACAGGCUCAGAAGGGCCAGACCUGUUCCUCUACCCACACUCAUUUCCCCUGUAUUCUGCCUGGAGCAGAGAUAAUGCAGGCCACUUGGGGCAGCUCCAUUUGAGUGGGGAUGUGCCUUACUACAUUCCAGAGACAGCAGGUUUGGAGGGUGCAGAGAGUAUUUACCCAAUGUGUUUACUAUUGCUGGCCCUUCAGAGCCCAUCACCAGCCAUUCCCUGGUUGAGGCUCCAUCUCUGCAUCCAGCAUCAGGUACCCUCCAUCCUCUAUUGAGGGAUCUUCAGUCAAUAAAGAGGGCCACAUGGCA
Long non-coding RNA from Zonotrichia leucophrys gambelii, 698 nucleotides. RefSeq lists it as uncharacterized. NCBI's taxonomy places the organism in Eukaryota, Metazoa, Chordata, Aves, Passeriformes, Passerellidae. The record is from RefSeq and is a predicted model, not a curated record. The transcript has 3 exons.